This 6769-nucleotide long non-coding RNA is filed under the name Homo sapiens (human). Its description in RNAcentral is "HSALNT0196821". The record is from RNAcentral. Lineage: Eukaryota; Metazoa; Chordata; Mammalia; Primates; Hominidae.
AAUAAAUCUGGUGUGCACAGGGUGUUGGUGACUGGCACUUAGGGCAUAAGAUUUGUGUAUCACCACCUCCAUUAGAGCUAUUGUCAGAUGCUAAGAGGAAAUGCUGUAUUCCUAGGGCUUCUACUUCAUCAUCCAUAAAAUAGAUAUCCUCAAAUCAGUGUCAUCUUCAACAUGAUUAAUGGAUCAUUCCUGUGAUGUGUCAAAAAGCCUUGCAAAUGGACACAUUGUGUGCUUUGAAGAAACAAAUCACUGAAAUCAUUGUUUCCUCAAACAUGGCUAGUGGGACUCUGUAGGUUUAUAAAAUGUUUCUGGUAGUAAAGGGGCAAUUUUUAAAAUUAUAUCAAUACUUCUAUAUUUAUUUGAAUGUUUACCAGAAAAUAAUAUGACAUGAAGACAAUGCAAAAUAUGCUAUUAUUUGAAUUAUAGGUGUGUCCAUGUGCACAGUAUUUUAGUAAGUGAACAUUGCCUUCUGCCACAGUGGUUGGAAGAAAGAUCAGAUCACAUUAAUCACCAAUAGGGUUUCUCAGUUUCUAAUAAAGCUGAUAUCCUGUGUUCCUUUUAGUGACACUAAAAAAUUUAAGUAAUUUUUGGGAUGUGGACAUGGCAGAAAUUGUGAAAGUACCACACGACUAACUGAAGUUCGGUAAAAUUUGACCUAAGAGAUGCCAUUGUUAAAAUGUUUUUUAUAUUAGAAGAUAAUUGCUUUAUUUACGCAUGCAUUUAUUCAACUAACACUGAAUUUGUUAUUGGUUAGUUAUUAGGCAUACUCACAUAAUUAAGACAUGACUUAUGACCUUGAAUGGCUCAUGCUGUAUUAUGGGAGACAUAAUACAGUUUCAAAAACUCUUCUGUUGAUAUAGGAAUGAAGUAUAAUGGAAAAUGUAGGAAUUAAGAACAAAGAUUCAGGACAGACAUACAGAGGAGGUGCUAUUUGAGUAGGGGUUCACCCAGCAAACAAGAGCAAGGACAGUAUGUCAGGUUGUUGGACUCAUAUCAAAAGUUUGGAGAAAUGUGGGAACGUGAUGCGUGAUUCAUCUCUUCUUGUUCAUUUGUGCAGGGGAAGGGUCUUUUUGAUAAGGUGCAUUCUGGGGAGAAGAAGUGGCAGUGUGUGAGACUAUAAAUGUAAGUAGAGUCUUCAAAUACUUUGAAACGUGUUGGAAUUUGGACUUAAUUUAGGAGCCCAGAAUGGCAGAGACAAGAUGUGCAUGUCACCACCCACCUCAUGUGCUCAUGGAAGACAUCACUAAUCAAUCCCAGCACUCCUUCCAGCUAGGGCCCAUUUCUUCUGCAGACAGAAAUCUGAGGCUGCCUCUCUGAUUGAUUGGAAGUGAUAACUGAGAUGAAACCUAUUUCUAACUUUUGGCAGAGCCUAUGGAGCAAGAAAGAGCUUUUAAUAAGGAUUAGAACAUGAUGCAAAACAGGACAACAGCUGUAUCCUAAAAAUCUAUAUAUUUAAAACAUUUAAACAAAUAAAAAGCAAUACAGACCAACUUCAGUGCCUUUCCAGUGGAAUCAAAGUCACAUAAUCAAGAUUUUCUUUGUUUGUUUUAAACAUGUUUAAUUAGUUACCAAUAUUGAAAAGUUACGAGAUUCAAAAUUUGUUGUUUUUCUUAAACAAUUUGAAAAUUCAAAUACUGUGUCAGUGUUCCCACCUGGCAAUGCCCACAUCCAUCUGAUCAGUAGCUGUGGAUUUGGCUGGACGGGGUUCAGUCCCAUUCACCACGGUUGAUGGCAUUCCCCAUCAUUUACCGUGAAGCUGCUUCCGUGAUUCAUGCUACCUGCCUGGAUGCUGGAGGGAUUUUAUUUUCACCUCCUGCUUAUCUAUCCUAACAGAUAUUCCUAGGUAGAGGUUCUGAUAAAAAUCAUGAAUAAAUGACAUUUUUGUAAAUUGAAUGAUGUUAUACAUGUAUCAGACAAAACUAUGGGAUUUCUUUUCUCAUGAAAAUCCAGGGUUUCCCAUAUCAGAACUUUUCUGAAUUAAGGAAUUCUUAAGUUUUGUUAUUGGGGGGUAACUUCUCAGUCUGUGCAGAACAGGACAUUUUCAGAGUCAGGGAUUCUACUCAGUAUUUCUCACAAUAAAAGAUGUUGAACAUGGGAUCUUAUAAUAAGGUUUUCAAUUCCUUUCCACAAAAAGAGCCUUACGAUUUCCAACGCUGGUUCUGAUCAUGGAGGUGAGAUACUGUAAUUAAACACUCUUCAAUCAGAAAUAUGGGGGGAAGUGAAUUCCUUGGGAGUGAACUUGGAGGUGAACAAGAGUUAGAAAUGUCCUCAAACGAAGAAGUGUUGAGAGUAUUACUGUGGGUUGUAGGAAGGAUAAAGUCCAUGAAAUGGAGAAUGAAAAUCUGGAAAGGAGAGGAAGGUGAUGGGUAGAGCUUCUGUGAUACAUUUUAUUUCAGUGUUUUCAUUAACACAAAACUUUUCUAACUUAUAGGUGAGUAUGUCCGCUACUGACAAGAUCAAGAUUUGAGUCCUGGCAUCUGGUCCAGGCUGUCAUUGCCGCUGACUUCUCCCCGUGCAGGGUUCUGGGGAGGGGUGAGCGGUCUCUCUAAUGGGAUGUCCACAGUCUCUCGACCGUACCUGAGGCAGUGGCAUCUGGGCUUGGCAUUGUGUCAGCAUCUGCAUUUUCACUGUAACAAGAAAAUGGUCGACUAUUCCAUUUUCAGCUGUUCUUGAAACUCCUGUUAUCAUUUUCUCUUUACAAUCCUGGACAGAGUAAUGAGGUUUUAAAUCCUUCCAACAUGCUCUCAAAGGCAGUCACCAGCUCUGUUAGUGUGACCUUUUCAAUACUGCAUGAUUUACGUGGCUGGCCAUUUGUCUCUCCUUUUAAAUAACAGCAAAGAGGGGGAGGAGGGAGUCAGAGGGGCAUGUUACAGCAGAUAUGAAAGGCUCACGGAUGCCUUUUAGCUCCCACCAACAGACUUGGUGUUGGAAUGACUGGACUAGCUUUGAUCUGGCUGUUAGUUGUUUCCUGAAAACCCAUAUAAAUGUGAAAAUGGAAAAACAUACACACCCUUGCUUCUAUAUUGCCUUAUUAACCUCAGCAUUUUCUCAUUAUUUAUCCCCUUUCUCUAAGAGAGAUGUUGACUUCUUUCUCAGAUAGCUUCUGAAAAUAUUCUUAGGAGACACUGAAUCUCCAAGUAAUUUUUUUUUUUUUUAGAGACAGGGUCUUGCGAUGUUGCCCAGUCUGGAGUGCAGUGGUGUGAUCUCUGCAAACUGCACCCUUUGCUUCCUGGGCUCAAGUAAUCUCCCCACCCUAGCCUCCCAAGUAGCUGGGACUACAGGCAUGCACCAGCACAUCUGGCUAAUUUUUUUUUUUUUUUUCAGAGACAGGUUCUCACGAUGUUGCCCAGGCUGAUCUCAAACUCCUGGGCUCAAGGGAUCCUCCCACCUUGGCCUCCCAAGUGUGCUACAAUUACAGAAGUGAGCCACUGUGCCUAGCCUACCAAGCAGUUUUUAAACCACUUUAUUAAUAUAUGAUUAGACCUAUAAAAAGCUGUACAUAUUUAGUGUAUACAACAGGAUGAGUUUGGAGAUAAACUGAUCACCAUUGAUGAAAGCACCACCACAAUCAAGACCAUAAAUCUACCCAUUUCCUCCAAAGGUGUCAUCCUGCUCUCUUUAUUGCAUUUAUUUUUGUUAUAACACACUUAAAAAUUCUAGAGCCUAUUGAUUCAAUGAUUAAUAUUCUCAGGGGCUCUGCAAUACUCAACACAAUGAAUUAACAACUUGCUUCUGAUAGAACUAUUUUGGUAUUGAAGGAAUUCUUUAAUUUUAAUUAUUUUAAUCUUUUUUUUUUUUUUUUUAACAAGGUCUUGCUCUGACACCCAGGCUGGUGUUCAGUGGUGUGAUCACAGCUCACUACCGCCUCCACCUCCUCAAACUCAAUCAAUCCUCCUGCCUCGGCCUUCUGAUGUUUAUCUUUCUUUAAUAAAAAUGGGAUCCUUUUAAAUCUCAGGAAGCUUCAGCCAAUUUAGAUGACCCAUAGAUUUUAGUACCUGCACCACUCCUGUAAUUAUAUUAAUUUACUGUCUUAUCGUACUCUCCAAUUCUUCCACAUAUCUCUAUCGUAAACACUUGAAGGAGAAGAGCCUGAUGUUUGCGGUUCUUCAGUGCCUGGGCAACUGUCCUGGUCCAGGUGAGACAGCUUUGCGUAGAGAUCACAAAACUGUAUGCCUGCAGGACCUAGGCAGGUAGCAUGUGUGGGUGGGAAGGAUUGUUUUGUUUUGUUUUUGUAUGGUAAAGUUAUAGACAUAUUGUUUACUUUUAUAAAGUGCUAUGUUGACCCUAUGUUUUUCUUCUAAACGUAUUCCCGUAUGGUUCCCUUUCAUGUCCCCCCUUGAGGGAGGUGCGGACAGGAAGCAAGUAUGAAGAUAAACCACAGCUGACAGUCAGUCAGCUCAGUGGUGGAGCCACACUUGGGCCAGUGGCCCUGAUGUGUAAGACAUCGUUACUCAGUUCCAGCCAGCUGCUGCCAUGCGGGGUUGCUGAUUUACUGUUUCCACUUACUCUAUUUUUUUAAAAAGAGACUAACAUUCUCAAUUUUUAAGUGAAAGCUGCCAAUUAACAAAAUUAUUGACUUGUACUCUUUUGAAUUUCCCAGAGUAAACAAAAUAAAAUUCCAGGCAAGAAAAAUCCAUGGACUCACCUAUUAGCAACUUCCGGUGCAAAUAAAUGACUCAACUUAAUAUUAAAUAUCUCUACACUUCUGUGAUUAUGGAAGGAUAGAUUUGCAUUUUGAACAGAUUUCACAGUUACUUUAUUUUUUAGCUUAAAAUGUAUCAAGAGUUAAUUCAUUAAGCAUGUAUUUCAUAUAUUUGUCUAAUGUAUAGAAGGCAUAUUGACGACUAUAUUCAAGUAUGUGUUUUAAGACAUAUAUAUGUACAUUUGCUUAUAUAUGUGUAUAUAUACCUAUAUUUUAUUAUAUAUUCCAUUUUAAUGUAGAAUUGGAGUUAUAUUUGGUUCUGAGGAAUAUAUAUUAAUUAGAUAGUUUAAUUAGGUUUGGUGAGGAUCUAAAAUGGAAGGUGUAUGAUCUAUUAUUCAAGAUAGAUUCUAUACUCCUUGCUGAUUUACUUUUUCUCAUUAACAGUUGUCAUCGCCACAUUUAUUUAGCUGAUUUGUUAUCUGUCUUCCCCACUGGAACAUAGGCACCACGAGGCAGGUUCUCUCGGCAUCAUUCACUCAUGUCCCCAGUGCUCAGAACAGAAUCUGUCACAAUCUAGGAACUCAUUAAAUGAUGGUUGAAUAAUCGAAUGAAAGAUUUUGUUUUUGGAGACCAUUUUUUAGAAAGCCAAGGAAGGAUAAUUACUGCUGUCUUGCACUGAUCACAUAUCACCUUGGUCCGUUUAAUUCAUAUGUCUGUAGUAACAAAGACAAUUCUUGGUGUACUUAUCCCAGCUUGGGGAUAAGGCAGGCAGGGCUGAAUGCCAAGGGCCACACAGCCCAAUCCCCUGUGUUGAGGUGGGCUGGACUCAGGCGUCUGCACCGUGCUUAGGAUACAAAGCACUCACUUUUGGGAUGCCCCCAGCCUCAAGAGGGUCAAGACGAAGUUUCCUGGUGACAAGGAGAAUGAGGUCUUCCAGGUCAGGAUAUGUUAUGACCACAGGUGGACUCAUUGAUGCCAGUUCAUUUCACUUUAUAUUUGACAGACAUUACUGAGCAUCUACGUUAUUCCAGGAUCUGUGAAAGUGUGUAAUAGAAAUAAAACAUUUCCAUUCACAUCUUGUGAUAAAUUUUCUGAUCAGUUACCUAGAGUCUAGUCUUUGGGGAGGAAGCAGGGGCAAUAACUACUCUCAAAAAUAUGUUAGGGGAGUAAGUAGAUAGUUAAACAAAUAAAGGUAACAUAGUGGGAAAAAAGCUAUAAUAGAGAGUAUCACAGGCACACAAAUGAGGAAGUGAUCCUGCUAUUUGAAAGUUGGACAAAACUUCACAGGAGAAAACAUUGAAUUGCUUCUUUUUUUAAAAUGGUCCAUAUUUAUAAUAACAUGACCUAGAAUCCCACCAUGCAGAAAUAACCACUUUUAACAUCAGGAAGCAAUAUUUUUACACUUCCUUUGCAUAUAUAGUGUGUAGAACAUAUUACUUGCUUCCCUUUUUACUUAAUGGUAUGCACAAACAUAUUUCUGUGGCUUAAUUUUUUAUGAUAUCCCAUUAUUUGUAAUUUAAGCAAUUGCUAUCAUCAUUUCCCAGUGAGCUACAUAUUUAGAUUAAUUUUAGUUUUAUUUUUUCCCCACUGAAAACAAUGCUAUCAUAAGUAUCCCUCUUGCUAAAUGUUGUAUAAAUCCAUUUGUUUUGCUAGGCUACAUUCUUUGUUUCUCGAGAUGUUUUUGUUACACUCUUUUUGAAAGUGCAGAAAUUUUAAGGAUAAAACUUGAUAAAUUAUCUCAGUAUUAACAGGCUUACACACACACCUCUGAAAUCAAGACUUAGAACAUUACCAGCAUGUCAGAGGUUACCCUGUGCCCCUCUCAAUUGUACUGACUUUCUUCUUUUCUGAAGGAACUCUUAAGCUUAAUUUUUGGAUGUGAAGUUAUGUUUAAAAGGAAGUUCAUUUAUUAGGCUUUUGAAACAUACUGCCAAAUUUUCCUCCAAAAAAGCUUUACCUGUCUAUCCUAUUUCUGUUCACUUUCUUAAACCUCUAUUGUUAUAGUAAAUACAUAUAUGUAUUGUGAAUAUAUAUUAUAAAUAUAACUGUAUUGUGAAUAGAUAGUAAAUAUAUGUAUACCUUUUGUAAAUAUUUAUCUAUUAUAAAUAUGUAUAUACAGCAUUGUCA